Molecule: long non-coding RNA, 1252 nt
Organism: Centruroides sculpturatus (bark scorpion)
Lineage: Eukaryota; Metazoa; Arthropoda; Arachnida; Scorpiones; Buthidae
Exons: 3
Source: RefSeq, a predicted model, not a curated record
AUAGAAAUUAUUAUGGUAUACUUUUUAUUAUUUAUUUUAAACAUUUUAUAUUAGUCAAUUACUUAUGUUUAUUUACACCAACAUAUUUAACAUAUGAUUUUGCUAAGGAUAAUCAUUGUAUUAAAUGGAAUGCUUUGAAUAUAAAGCACUUUUUUUAUAUUUAUUUUACUGUUUUUGCCCUAUGGGCACUAAGAAAGUCUGUUCUAUUCUUGUCAUGGGUUCUGCCAUGCCCAUAAUGGAGGAAACUAGAUGGUGAGGAAUAAGGCCCAAUUUAUCUGGGAUAGACCACCUACAAAAAAUUUCUGAGGUUUGUGAUCCAGACUUGAACCUGGAUCAUAAGAGUGAUAGGCUAAUGUCAUUACUGUCUUGGCAUCUGGCCUUCUCUAAGAAGACAACGUGUUAAAAAAACACAUUAAUAGUAUUUAACAUAUCUCAUAUAAUUAAUACUUUAAUAUUUUAAAAUAUUAUAUAAAAUUAUUCAUUUUUAAAAUUUUUUAUUUGUUGCUUAUGUUGCAUUAAUUUGAAACAACCAAACUGAUUAGAAAGACAUGGAAGUUAAUGUUUUAGAGCAAGGGUCACCAAACUACUGCCUGCAAGGUUAGUUCAUCCGGUCCGCUGCUGCACUGUGCCACAAAUAUCAUAGAUUGUAGAUAAACUUACUAUGUAGAAAAAAUUAAAAUAAGUGUAAGUAUAAAUGCCAAAAUUGCUCCAAUCUGAUUUUUGCAUCUGACAGUAAUAUAAUUUUUAGGAAAAUCAGUGAAAUAAAAAAUUUGGUGACUUUUUGCAACUUUGGAUAUCAGAGCACUUUUUGUGUAAGUACCUGCAAUGAGGUUUCUAAGAAAAGUGAUUACAAGCUUGCUGCAGCAAUUGUGUUUGUAUAUUGGUAAAUAAAUAUGUUGGUUGUCUUUAUUUUUUGUAUAUUCAGUGUGCUGUAUAGAACAAAAUGGUUAUGCGGCUCGUGCUUGUCAUUCUCUCAGUUAUGUGGCCUGCUGUGAAAAAUGUUUGACCUCUGUUUUAGAGUGUUACCAGAUUCUUCAGAUUAAUGCAACUAUUGAAAAAUGCCAUGUGGCCAAAACUAAAUUAGAAAAAGCAAAAAGAAGAGAAUGUUCUCUCACAGUAGCUGCUGAUGAGCCUGGUGUUCUUGGAAAAAUUGGUCACCUUGCUUAUGUGGAAGAUGAUGACAUUGCUCGUGUUAUAUCUUGGCAUAUGCAAUCAGAUAUGGAUUGUUUAAUUACACAUUCUAUGUCUAAAG